GAUGAACGCUGGCGGCGUGCCUAAUACAUGCAAGUAGAACGCUGAAGGAGGAGCUUGCUCUUCUGGAUGAGUUGCGAACGGGUGAGUAACGCGUAGGUAACCUGCCUGGUAGCGGGGGAUAACUAUUGGAAACGAUAGCUAAUACCGCAUGACAACAGUUAUUGCAUGAUAACUGUUUAAAAGGGGCAACUGCUCCACUACCAGAUGGACCUUCGUUGAUUUAGCUAGUUGGUGAGGUAACGGCUCACCAAGGCGACAAUACAUGGCCGACCUGCGAGGGGGUCCGGCAAAAUGGGACGGGAACACGGCCCAAACCUCCACGGGAGGCAGCAGGAAGGAAUCCUCGGGAAUGGACGGAAGUCUGGACGAGCAACGCCGGGUGGGGGAAGAAGGUUUUCGGAUCGGAAAGAUCCGUUGUAAGGGAAGAAAGAGAGUGGGAGUGGAAAGUUCACACUGUGACGGUAUCUAAUCAGAAAGGGACGGCUAACUACGUG
This 494-nucleotide ribosomal RNA is filed under the name uncultured bacterium. RNAcentral's name for it is "partial 16S ribosomal RNA". It matches the Rfam family "Bacterial small subunit ribosomal RNA", at positions 28 to 507 of the family's 1533-position model. The record is from RNAcentral.